Toxorhynchites rutilus septentrionalis is the source of this 641-nucleotide long non-coding RNA. RefSeq lists it as uncharacterized. Lineage: Eukaryota; Metazoa; Arthropoda; Insecta; Diptera; Culicidae. The transcript is spliced from 2 exons. The record is from RefSeq and is a predicted model, not a curated record.
AUCGAGCAUCCGCACAGUGUCGAUUGCGUGUGUGUUGCAUUAGAAGGCAAAUUUCAAUUGAACUUGCGCACAGGACUCACACUAAUGACGAAUAUAUACAACGGGUACUUCAAUAGGGACGCUACAAAAGUAGACCGAUAGGGACAGUACACGACGCCAUAUUUUUUCCCGCUCUCUUGACAUUUCUCUCCAGUAAGGUUUGCCAUUUCAUAAUGGAAAGAUAUACGAUCCAACAACGAGUCGAGAUUAUUCAAAUUUACUACCGAAAUUCGGAGUCAGUGGACUCAACUUUAAGAGCGCUAGGUCCAAUUUAUGGUCCUAAUGAUUGUCCUGCCAGAUCAACAAUUGAGCGUCUAUGAGACAAUGAAGGGCCCGUAGUGUCGAGAAUAUUGCUGCCGCUAGCGCAUCAAUUGAGGAAGACCCAAAUCAGUUUAUGCUAACAAAUGGCAAAUGUUUUCGAACGUGAAAUUGCAGCAGUAUCGGCCGAUUUAUGCUUGAAAACCGUCGAAAAUUGGGUUCAGCGUCUGGACAUCUGCAAGCGUGCCCCUGGUGGCCAUGCGAAAGAAAUCGAGUUCCAUACAUCAUCCAGCAGGCAUCAAAUUUACUUUCACAUGAAUAAAGAAUUUCAUUGAUAUCCAAAA